This 247-nucleotide ribosomal RNA is filed under the name uncultured bacterium. RNAcentral describes it as "partial 16S ribosomal RNA". It matches the Rfam family "Bacterial small subunit ribosomal RNA", at positions 523 to 769 of the family's 1533-position model. The record is from RNAcentral.
AUACGUAUGGAGCAAGCGUUAUCCGGAUUUACUGGGUGUAAAGGGUGCGUAGGCGGCAGGGCAAGUCAGAUGUGAAAGCCCGGGGCUCAACCCCGGUAGUGCAUUUGAAACUGCUUUGCUGGAGUACGGGAGAGGUAAGCGGAAUUCCUAGUGUAGCGGUGAAAUGCGUAGAUAUUAGGAGGAACACCAGUGGCGAAGGCGGCUUACUGGACCGUAACUGACGCUGAGGCACGAAAGCGUGGGGAGC